Molecule: long non-coding RNA, 190 nt
Filed under: Cyanistes caeruleus (blue tit)
Lineage: Eukaryota; Metazoa; Chordata; Aves; Passeriformes; Paridae
Description: lncRNA (ENSCCEG00000018249.1)
Source: RNAcentral
UUUGCUGUCUUUCUUCCCAGGUGUAGAUGACUGCCACUUGUCAAAUGGGAGACCUGGAAUAAGGAGAGUUUAGCUAAUAGCUCCACAGUAUUAUAUUUUCUGUUUCUCAUACAUGCAUCUACUUAUCCUUCUGUGCAAGCCACUGUCUAGCAGUCCUGAUGGUAUGAAGCUGAAAUCACUGUUGUGCUCU